AUUGAACGCUGGCGGCAUGCCUUACACAUGCAAGUCGAACGGCAGCACGGGGGCAACCCUGGUGGCGAGUGGCGAACGGGUGAGUAAUACAUCGGAAUGUACCCAGUAGUGGGGGAUAACUAGUCGAAAGAUUAGCUAAUACCGCAUACGCACUAUGGUGGAAAGCGGGGGAUCGCAAGACCUCGCGCUAUUGGAGCAGCCGAUGUCCGAUUAGGUAGUUGGUGGGGUAAAGGCCUACCAAGCCUGCGAUCGGUAACUGGUCUGAGAGGACGACCAGUCACACUGGGACUGAGACACGGCCCAGACUCCUACGGGAGGCAGCAGUGGGGAAUUUUGGACAAUGGGGGAAACCCUGAUCCAGCAAUGCCGCGUGUGUGACGAAGGCCUUCGGGUUGUAAAGCACUUUUGGCGGGAACGAAACGGCGCUUUCUAAUACAGAGCGCUAAUGACGGUACCCGCAGAAUAAGCACCGGCUAACUACGUGCCAGCAGCCGCGGUAAGACG
Molecule: ribosomal RNA, 504 nt
Filed under: uncultured bacterium
Lineage: Bacteria
Description: bacterial SSU rRNA
Rfam family: Bacterial small subunit ribosomal RNA
Source: RNAcentral